ACGCUCGACACCUACGGGAGCAGCAGGUGGGGAAUAUUGCACAAUGGGGGAAACCCUGAUGCAGCGACGCCGCGUGAGCGAAGAAGUAUUUCGGUAUGUAAAGCUCUAUCAGCAGGGAAGAAACUGACGGUACCUGACUAAGAAGCACCGGCUAAAUACGUACCAGCAGCCGCGGUAAUCUGAGCGGGCUGGCAAGGC
Molecule: ribosomal RNA, 198 nt
Filed under: uncultured bacterium
Lineage: Bacteria
Description: partial 16S ribosomal RNA
Rfam family: Bacterial small subunit ribosomal RNA
Source: RNAcentral